UUAAGUUAUUUAUUGAUUCACUAGUUGCCAUUUUAAGUGUAACUCGAUUCCGGUUUGUAGAAGCCUUCGAGGUGAUUGUGUGAAACUCGUUUCAUCGGAAUUUCGGUAUAGAAUAUUAGAAUGGUAAUCUGGUGUCUAAAACUAGAAAUCACUAUAUCACGUGAUGAACUCGAUUACCAUGUUUGUGAGAAAUCGGUUAUUAUUCAUUGUAAAAGUCCGCUUUGACGCUUGUCCGCUGCUUUUUUUAAUUCAACAAAAUAAUAUUAACCUUUUACUAAUAACGUCUAUGGUGUGAACUCAAACAAAUCUACGAGUAAUCUUGCGUAUGCGCGCAGUAACGCAUCUCAACAACUGACUUCGUCGGCCAUUGCAACCACAGGGAUAUAUACUAUGUGUAUGUAAUGUUAAACAAUAUGUGUAGUAUAUAUCUCUGUACUUGCAUAAUGUGCUUCUAUCUACGAAUUGUGAACAUCGCCCUGUCGGCGACUGGCGAGAUCAAGCUAGCACGGAAACUUGGAAUCCAGUUAUGUUUGAGGUUAUGAUAGCACAUUAGCACUCAUAACCUCAAACCAGAAGACAGCAUUCAAAGUGUUAUGAUCUACUAAACGGUUCUAAAGUCUAUAACUGCCAUUGACCAUAACAAUUGUUCGUUUUGCUUUUAGUCAGCAAGUAGUUUAAAGAAUACUGUAUUAUAAGUAUUCUUGCAUUUUGCGUAGUUUUGCGUGUAAUUAUGUCUCCGAAGGAACGCAUUUGAAUGUGUUGUAUGUGAGAAUAUAUCCAAACAUGUGUAUGCCAUCAAUUUCCAAAUCUUUGGAGUGGUGGAAAGACGUCAAAGCUUGUUCCAGAUUGUAGAUAAAAGGGUAGAUGGUUUAGAAAACCUGGAUCCAAUGUCUGUUAAUUCCUAAAAAUGUAUCUGUGCUUUGCAGUUCUCAAAUGAUUGUUCGAGUUUUUGUAAAAAAAAAAUGAAUGCUAAUGCUUACCCAUCUAUUAAUUUGCCAAAUAAAUAGUUAAUGUUGGUGUUCAAAAAGAAAUUAUUCAACACAGAUAAUGUGCCAGGAGAUGCUUAAUUAUAUUUAGUAUAAACACCUGCCAGAAAGUGGUGUACUAUACCAUAGUGCAAAAUAAAAUCAGUCCAUGUGUCAAGACAUAAAUUCAGAUUUCCUAAGUUUUUUUUCAGUGUACAAUUAUUAUACAAAUUAGAUACAGGCAUAUAAAGAAUAAACAUUGUAGUAUCAAUAAUAAAGUAUAUUAUGUUUAAU
This is a long non-coding RNA of Rhopalosiphum padi (bird cherry-oat aphid), 1259 nucleotides long. RefSeq lists it as uncharacterized. NCBI's taxonomy places the organism in Eukaryota, Metazoa, Arthropoda, Insecta, Hemiptera, Aphididae. The transcript has 3 exons. The record is from RefSeq and is a predicted model, not a curated record.